RNAcentral lists this ribosomal RNA (551 nucleotides) under Arcyria obvelata. RNAcentral's name for it is "SSU rRNA". It matches the Rfam family "Eukaryotic small subunit ribosomal RNA", at positions 22 to 535 of the family's 1831-position model. The record is from RNAcentral. Lineage: Eukaryota; Evosea; Eumycetozoa; Trichiida; Trichiidae.
AGAGACAUAUGCUUGUCCCAAAGAUUAAGCCAUGCAUGCCCGACUUAGACUCAGUUAGAAAGCUAUUUCUUGAUGAAUCUGCGAGCGGCUCCGUAUACCUGUUAUCACCUUUCAUCCCCCACCGUUUUUAUCGACGGAUACCUGGCGUUAAUUCUGUAGCUAAUACGUCAGGUAUGCGGGGGGGUCUCCCAAUGUGGAGACCUUCGGCCUCCUCAAGCCAGCGAGCGCUUUCCUCCCCAUGUUGGGAGGAAGGUGGCCACUAGAAUGAGGGGAGAGGGCCUCACUGCGGGUAAUUCCCUUGCAGGGAGAUUGGAGAAUUUCAGACCUAUCAACUAGAGGGUGGGGUAGAUGCCCGCCCUGGUGAUAACGGGUACAGAGGAUCAGGGUUCGAUCCUGGAGAGGAAGCCUCAGAAAUAGCUUCUACUGCUAAGGCAGGCAGCAGGCGCGCAACGUUCCCAAUGGUUUAUCCGAUUGAGGACGUUACGGGACAUAGCAAUGCCGGCCCGCAUAAGCGUGGUCAGCAAUUGAAAUGAUAUGUUAUCAAAUAACAC